This is a long non-coding RNA of Mercenaria mercenaria, 3876 nucleotides long. RefSeq lists it as uncharacterized. The record is from RefSeq and is a predicted model, not a curated record. Lineage: Eukaryota; Metazoa; Mollusca; Bivalvia; Venerida; Veneridae. The transcript is spliced from 3 exons.
CAAUACCUGAAUCAGGAAAACAUUGUCUUUUAAACUUAACUGCUAGAAAAGUACAUUAAUAACUUGACUCGAGUUUUGCAUUUCCCUGAAAUUUUAGAGUCACUUUAUAUAUUAAUUUUUACCCGUUAAUGCACUGCUUACGCGUUCUGAUUAAAAAUGGAACAUUUAAAUUUGUUUUUAACGUAUUUAGAAACACUAUCUGUAAUGAAGGAUCUACCAAGAGAUUUCUGGAUAAUCUCACAUGCGUGGGAUUCUUCCAGAAACACAAAGCGUAGUAAAGGAGGCAGUAAACACUUUUCAGCAGUUAGUGUCGAUUUGGCCAGGUCAAAUUUACAAAUAAGAGGCAAUUUACGGAUUGAAGUGCAUAUUUCAACUUUAAGAUAAUAAUUGCUAGAAUUGAAGUUUCAGUGGCUAGAAAUGAGUUUCACUUAUUUCAAGAAAAUUAGUUGAGUCGCCUUGAUCUGGAAAUUAUAACGUAAUGACUUGCAGAUGCGAAUACAUGCCUCCACUGAGCUAGCUUAAAGUGGAGUUGUCAUUUUAGCAGGGUCCUCGGGGAAACUGGAAUAGUGAAAAAACGGUACGGACGGCACAUAUAUUUGAGCUUAUUUUCAGAUUUUACAUUGUUUCCGAAGUAUGAAACCGUGUAGCAGUUGGGACUAUCAUUUGCAGGAAAUUGUCUGCAGCGAUUUAAAAAUUGGCAAAUUUAGCUUUUGUCGUCAUCAGUUUCCGCGACCGGGACAGCACAAAAUUCAGGUCUUGUAAACAGAAAACUAGGUAUUAGAGAUGUAUUGCAGAUGGUUUGUAACGGUAGACAUACAGGCGUGUUAAUGUUGCAAUAUCUUUAUUUCAGGUGUGUGGUUACAGACUUUUGUGUGAGGUUUUGAAAGUUGGGCAGGCGACUCUAGGCCGAGAAGCUCUGAAAACUGUUUUCUGCCUCCAAAGUACCCACCUGGCUGCUUUUGGAGUAGUUUUACUGCUUGAGCUGCAUCUCGAAUUCCCAUCAACGACCGGCACAUAAACUUACGUGCUGAAAUUACCCUACAGCUUCAACAACAAGAGCUGUCACAGGAGACAGCGCGCUCGGCUAUUUCGAUACUGGAUAGUGAAACUGGGCACAUCUGAGGAAACUAGAGCUGUCACUGGAGUGUUUAAUGACUCCAAUUGUGGAUGAAGAUAUUGCACAAUAGCCUGAGUCUAUGUCAAAAUUAUCAACUUAAAGUAAUAAGAGAGGAAACCAAAGACUGCUUACCUCCCUUGCGUCCGUUUCCAUGGAGAUAUUUGUACAACCGUCGUAUAGAGAUGAAUAUAGCACGUCGUGGCUGCUAACAGGGGUUUCUUCUAAUAUUGCAGCAAAUUCCGAGUCACAGUUCAGUAGGAACAGCUUUACAAAAAAAGUUAUAAUUAUGAUAAAAAACAAUUGAUUAUACAAGUUAAAGCAUAGCGAAAGUUCCUUCUAUGGCACAUUUAUACAAAUAUAUAAUGAUCAUCUUGUAAAAUUUGGGUUGCAAUGUCUGUUUAAAAUAUUGGUCAUCAAGUGCGGAAACCCAGAAUCGGACACAAGGACAAGACUAUUCUACCAUAUUGACAUUCCGUAUCCUCCCGUUUAAUCAGGGAGUCAGUGGCGCAGUGGUUAGCAGUUUGGACUACGCCAGCGAUCCGCGUUCGAUUCCCGGUUGCGGCUGAUAUCCCGACUAGUGUUCAGUGCUGGGUGAUUUACUUUAAUUUGGUACUGUUUCCAACAGUAUCGGUCUAGACUGGAUGCUGGGGAGGUAAAUGACGCCUGCCGUGAGCUCGGCUGGAAAUAAAUUGUUCCAUCAGGUGAGGACUUUCGACAAGAAGAAACUUUACAUACAUUUUAAGCGCACCUGGGGGCGUUACAUUUUGCACAAAGAGUGCGUUUAUUUCUGUACAAAAAAAACCUAUGCUGUUUUAUACUGCCUAAAAAUGUCAAGUAGGUAUUUAUGUAGACAAGCUUACUAUCGCUGAGUGGCUGCUUUUUAAUUUCUGACUUUUGCAGCCACCGCAGUUUGACCGUCACAAUAUAAAACAAACUGUAUACGUCCGUCUAGUAUUUAUAAAUGCCAACAUAAAUUGUUAAAUCCAGCACCAAAGUAAAUACGUUACCACUUUCAGUGGAGUAAAUACGGCAAUAAGAAUAUAAAUAUAAAUAUAUAUAUGAAGAUAUAAAUCUGGUAUAAUAAUCCAGUAUAAUAAUAAUACACUGGCUAUACACAUUUGACCCGGUCAAUCCAAUUCCACAUGUUGCGUGAAUUUGUUAAAUAUAAUUAGAAAGUCGCAAUGGGGUUUGUUUUCACAUAUCGGACCAUGCAUUCGAAAGAAACGAUAAUAUUUAUUUUGUUGUUUACAUGUAAAUUUGCUGAUAUAUGUCUUUCUGUUUGUACACAUGUUAUGCUCUUCAAGAAUGGAGGAAAUAAAAGAAUCAAUCAAUCAUCCUAUGUUAUCCGUGGAACGCAUUCAGUCAGAGUCGCCUCAAUUAGGAAAUAAAAUGUUUAACGUCAGAGAAUAUUUCUAAGGUCAAGGAGUUUGAUUGGCCAGCUCGUAAUGACAACAGAUUUCGAGGUCAUUUGCUCAGUCGAGUGUGACUUACCGGCCCUAAGUAUUCCUUCUCAAGAGAAGGAACAAUAACGUUUUUUAUCAUGGCUUUACGGUAACAAGUACCCGUUGAGUGCAUUUGUACAUCAAUUCACAAUGCCUACUUUUACCAAAAAUUCGAAUUUAAAAUUCUCCCAAUAAAACAGAAAUACAAGAUACAACAGUGAAUUAAGAUUUACUACUUAUAUUGCUACAAUAUAGCUACUUAAGUAACAAAAACACCGUCCCUUGAACAGUAAUUAGUGUUAUUUCCGCUUCUGUUGGGUUUUAAUCCUAGAUCCCUGUCCCUACUAAGCUAUUCUGAUUCAGGAGAAUAAAGAUAUAUCCACAAAGAUAACAUCCGAAGCAAGCCUAUAAUUGGGAUCAAUAUGGUCGCCCUCGCGGCACCUGUAUGGGCUACCAAUAUGGAACCCAGUAUUUGGGCAUGGGUCCCAGUAGUAUAGUAAUUGUUUGUGCGAGCGCAGUUUAAUCUAAUUUAACAUUUAACCCUUGACCUAAACCGAUCAAUGCUGACCAAUUUCAACAAAUUUAAAACAAAUUUUAACAAAUUAUUGUUAAAACCUAUAGUAAAAUAUGAUUAAACACUUCUACCAAAUAUUUGCCAAAAUCCUGCCAAGUGGCAGCAAUGUGACAAUGUCUGCCAACUUGACAAACUUUUGGCAGAAUGUUGGCAAAGUUAUUUAAUGUACUUAAAUUUGAUAAAACAUAUAUAUUUAAAUUUCUGCCAAAUUUCUGCCACGGAGACAACAAUGUGGCAGUGUCUGCCAACUUGGCAGAACUUUGGCAAAACUUUGGCAGAUUAUUUUUAUUAAUAAAAUGUAAUGUAUUUGAUCUUAUUUUGAAUUAGUAAGUAUAUUAUCAGGGUACACAUAGUAAUUAAAACUUUAAAUAAGCUUUUAAUUAACCCUUUAAUCCAAAAGUCUGCUUCUACCAGAGGAUAUAGGUUCAUCCGAUAUGUAGAAUCUAAUGUAACUACCUAUCAAAAGCAUAAAUGUUAAUUCUGUAGAUGCUGAAUCGUCAUACGGGUGAAUAUCAAACAUUGUUCCUUGUUUUAGAUAAAUUUUAAUUUUUUUCUUAUACAUAGAUAUUAACUUAUCAGUGUCAAAGUCCUCAGCUGCCUCAGCUGUUAUAUUUACAUUAUCAAAUAUAUCAAAUAAAACAUCAUCCUGAGGCCUAUCAUUCCGCCACCUAAAUAUAAAAUGUGAUAUUGGGCUUUUAGUCGGUUUAUACGGUUCACCCGGGGAGCUCGCACACUUUAAUAAA